AACGCGUUGAACCGUCGAUCCCCUGCUCAUUUCCUAUUUUCGCUCUCUCUCUCGUUUCUCCUCCCUGAGUGGCGGCUAGGGUUACCGCGGCCGCCGCCCCACCCCUGCUCAUGGCCUCGGUUGAUUUAGCGCCACCGCCACCCCUUUUCUCUUGUCCACGUUCUCUAUCCUUGCAAGAAACCUCUCCUCUCCUCAUCUCUCCUCCGCGUCUUCCUCCGGGGAGCCUUGCGGCUGCAGCAGGAGGGGAGACGAGGAGGCCGGGCCAGCCGAUUUCCUCGCCGGAUCUGGAGCGCAGGGGCGACGCUGGCGAGUAACCGAUCAUGGAGGAGCAUUGGUCGCCGGUGAAGAAAAUAUGGGAGGGAGACGAGAGGAGCACUGAUCAGGGGGAGUCAUCAGGGAUGGUCGAUGCCAAGGUCAGCUUUACCAAUCAUUCUCCCCCAUCUUUGCAGCAAGACUCAUUGGGUUCCUUCGAUCUAAGCCGGUUUAUGUCGUUUUGCUUCAUAUAAUCAUGGUGGAACUAGGCUAUAUUUCUUACAGUGAAGCGAGGGUGACUAAAAAAAUUUGGUGUACGUCAAUCAUUAGCUUGAAUUUUUACCUGCAGCUGAUCUUAUUCUGGUGAGAAUUUGAUGACAGGGAGAAUUAUUAUUAUUGUUGUUGGUCAAGGUAACUGCGAUGCACAUGAUGCAAGAAUUAUAUUUGUGCAGAGGUAGCUACAACUAUGCAAAUCAGUUUGAUGCCCUCUGUUACUCUCUUAUUUUUUGUUGAACUAACCAAUACCAGAACACAACUCUAUCCUACAUGAACUCAUGUGUUCUUAUGCAGCCAUUUUCUGUUGUAGGAGGAGCAAUACUCAGAGUGUGAGAGUUAAGUGAGAAUCUGUUGAAACUAAGGUCACAACAGAUCAGGUACUUCAUUUUUGUUUCAACUUAUACUGCUCUCUAAUGUUAUAUCUGCAGACUGCAGGACCUCCAAACUAAAAAUAAAAUUGAAUUUUCUUGGCAGAUUCAGUUGUCUAGAAACUAAUUUGUGGUGUAGUUUGAAAAAAGGCAAAAGACUCGGAUAUAGUCAUAGAACUACAACAUAAAGUUUGAGGAGUGUCCCCAAUCCCAUCAUCUUUCUCUUAGUUUUUACUACAUGAUUCUCUGUGAUGAUUUUAUUCUAAUUUCUCAAUUUAUGUUUUUUCUAAACACAACGCCUGCGGGUUUGAUAAAGAAGAGGAAGAAUUUUGAGGAAGAACUUUGUGAAAAUACAGUCACUUUCUUGCAUUUUGACGUGUUUUGCCAAUUUCUGUAUAUUGCUUAUAUGGUUGCACCCAAGGCUUGGUUCAUGGUUGCUGAUGCAUUUUCUAUAGAAAUGCGAUGUUUUUGUUCAUAGUAUGAACAGAAGUUGAACAGUCGAAAACCUAUGUGAAAGCAGCGGCGAAAAGUAUGCUUGAGGAAGAGGUAUGGAACCAGCGUGCCCUUUGGUCAAAGAAUUUUUGUAAGAUUCCAAUCCAUGCGGAAUUCUCGAAACCAUUUAGUUCAAAGGGAUGAAUUCCCCAAAAUUGUGUGGAUUGUUUUCCUACACUAUGUGCUUCUUUGGUUCAAAGGAAUUUUUAAGCAAUUUGUAGGAUUCCAACCUAUAGACGUUUUUUCUAGAGUACUUUUGAUUCAGAGGAGUAACCACUCCUAAAUUCCUCUUGACUGUUCGCCAACACCACGAUUCAAUAGAAUUUCUAGCAUGUUUUGGUGUCAUAACUCGAUAGAAAGUUUGUGUUUUUCCUGGUUCAUGUACGAUUCCAAAUGUCAGGAUAUAUAUUACUCUAUUUUUCAUGUUCCUAUGUGUUCAUCAGAUCCUGCGAAGUGAAGAAGGUUCUGCAACUCCAUUAGAUUGAUUGAAAAUUCCCUUAUAUCUUGAGAAGCAUGACAUGCACUUGACAUCUAUAUAAAGUUUCUUAUGGCCACAUGAUGCCUGGAUACUUACCUAAAAUACAUCAUUAGUCCAUCAAAACCCAUUUAUUGAUCCAGUAUGAUUGCUUAGAUCCAGACGGGUCUACCUUACUGAUAGCUUAAUACUAUCUAGAGCAUAUUCUUUUUCCCUUUGUUUAAUUGAAUAGCAUAAUACUAUGGUUAUUAAGAAACUUGAACAUGUGAUAUUGUAGAUCUCUAUCUUCCAUGUUCCCACCCUGAUGUUCUUUAGAUAUUCUUCCAUUUACAGCAAUCUAAUUCUUGGGUGAUAAUUUUGACAAUCAUUAAACCUUUCAGGUCUGCCUAUCUGUUGAUGGUGAUAGAAAAGGUAAUGAUGCAGCAAAAAUGCAUUACGAUUCUAAAGCUGUCAGGGCUCAGGAGAUGAGUGUCUGAUGGUACUAUUGAUCAACAUUCAGAUUUGGCAGUUGGAUAAAGAAGCUUCGUUCACAAUAUAAAGGCUGACAAGAAAACUACAGAACGAGUAAAGAUUUGCGACUUGGAAGCGAUGGGAUCAAAUGGUUUGUCUUAAGAGAACAAUACUAUCUAUUUCUUAUUUAUUGUACGUCAAAUGAAGGACUUGCAGAUGCAGAAUAUUAGCACAAAGAAAAAUCUAUAUGGUUUUAAGGGUUUGGAUUCAUCGGUAUGUUGUGUGUUUCUUCACCUGCUCUGGAUAUGAUUGCACAAUAUUUCAGAAAUCGUCCAUGGAUAUGCAUUGUUAGGUGACAAGUUUUUGCGGGUGGUACGGUUCCCAUCUGUCUCUGAUGAAAUAUUCACUUACCAUACUAGUUCGAUCUCAACAUUCCACCCAUUUUUCACAUCUCUAUCAUCGCUUGGAUUUUGUCUCUAACAUUGUUGCUUUCCGGUGGCGAGGGAGCCCUUCACUGAGCCGGUGGAGGUGUCCUUGUCGUAGGCAGGGUAAUGGAUCACUGAGUGCGAGCUGCUGUGUUGGUUCGUCAGAGAGGCGAGUCUCAUCUACUUCAAAUUCUGGGGCAUUCUACUGCCGAUUGCAGUGGACACUAGCAAUUAAUAUAUAGUUGAGUUGUUCGAUUGGUUGUUGGUUGGCCGAUUGGGAUGGUGUUUACUUACCUAUAAUCUGAGCUAUAAGGGUGAACAAGUGUCCAAGUAGAUGAAUUUUCAGCAGUUCUAUGAGGUACAGACCGUACUACUGAAAUAACAAGACAUUUGAAGGGAGUAGUACAUCAGAUUCGUUUAUGGUCCUCUUGCCACCUUAAUAGUGUAUUUCUGACUACAUUAUGUUAUCAAUAGGUUGUAUAGCUUCCAAAUACCGUAGAAAUCAAAGAGUUUGAACUGUUUUAACUGAGAUUAUGUCAAUAUUGUUAGUCUUUA
Long non-coding RNA from Triticum aestivum (bread wheat), 3293 nucleotides. RefSeq lists it as uncharacterized. The record is from RefSeq and is a predicted model, not a curated record. Lineage: Eukaryota; Viridiplantae; Streptophyta; Magnoliopsida; Poales; Poaceae. The transcript is spliced from 5 exons.